RNAcentral lists this ribosomal RNA (289 nucleotides) under Musca domestica (house fly). RNAcentral's name for it is "partial 16S ribosomal RNA". The record is from RNAcentral. Lineage: Eukaryota; Metazoa; Arthropoda; Insecta; Diptera; Muscidae.
UCUGGUAUGAAAGGUUUGACGAGAUAUUAACUGUUUCAUAAAAAUUUAUAAUAGAAUUUUAUUUUUUAGUCAAAAAGCUAAAAUAAAUUUAAAAGACGAGAAGACCCUAUAAAUCUUUAUAUUUAGAUAAUUACAAUUUUGUGGAUUUUUUUUGUUGUGAUUGUUGAUAAUAUUUUAUUGGGGUGAUAUUAAAAUUUAAAAAACUUUUAAUUAAUUAAAUCAUUAAUUUAUGAAUAAUUGAUCCGUUAUUAACGAUUAAAAAUUUAAGUUACCUUAGGGAUAACAGCGA